AUCUAGUGGCUGUCAAGCGCAUCCUGCGCUAUGUAGCCGGAACCAGAGGCUGGGGCGUAAGAUACUGCGCAGGGAGCGGAAAGGAGACAGUCAAGCUAGUUGGC
This is a long non-coding RNA of Cucurbita moschata (crookneck pumpkin), 104 nucleotides long. RefSeq lists it as uncharacterized. The record is from RefSeq and is a predicted model, not a curated record. Lineage: Eukaryota; Viridiplantae; Streptophyta; Magnoliopsida; Cucurbitales; Cucurbitaceae. The transcript is spliced from 3 exons.